GGUGACGUUCAUGUCUAUGAGUCAAUCAGAGACUCUGAAAACACUGGAGAAGGUGACUAUCGAGUCUAUGAAACAAUCAGAGGCUCUGAAAACACUGGAGAAGGUAUUUAUGAAGAAGGUCCAUAAAGAGAUGAACAUCAUGGACGACAUGAGAAAACCAUAUUCAUGUAUUGGCACUGACAUGGCAGUGACGGCUUUAGAGAGAUUGAACAGCAAAUAUAAUGUG
Lates calcarifer (barramundi perch) is the source of this 226-nucleotide long non-coding RNA. RefSeq lists it as uncharacterized. Lineage: Eukaryota; Metazoa; Chordata; Actinopteri; Centropomidae. The record is from RefSeq and is a predicted model, not a curated record. The transcript is spliced from 3 exons.